UAUCUGUGAGCACAAGGACCUUGUACCCUCUCCAAAAUGGGUCACCAGGAAUGCUGACCUUACUAGUCUAUUCUCAUGCUGAGGAGACAACAUGGAUAGGUUGGUGCUGUGAAUCUGAAAUGUCUCAUGAAAGCGAGGUCAGCAGCCACCUAUAUUACAUGGUCCGACCACUGUGAUGUUCUUCUACAUAGGCUCAAAACAAUGCACCCAGCCAAUCAUGGACUAAAAAUUUUGAAACCAUGAGCCCCAAUAAAUCUUUCCUCAUUCA
Long non-coding RNA from Mus musculus (house mouse), 268 nucleotides. RefSeq annotates it as predicted gene, 52408. The transcript has 2 exons. NCBI's taxonomy places the organism in Eukaryota, Metazoa, Chordata, Mammalia, Rodentia, Muridae. The record is from RefSeq and is a predicted model, not a curated record.